GAUGAACGCUGGCGGCGUGCCUAAUACAUGCAAGUCGAGCGAAGGGACGAGAAGCUCGCUGUUCUGAUGUUAGCGGCGGACGGGUGAGUAACACGUGGAUAACCUACCUAUAAGACUGGGAUAACUUCGGGAAACCGGAGCAAAUAACGGAAAAUACUUUGAACCGCAUGGUUCAAAAGUGAAAGACGGUCUUGCAGUCACUUACAGAUGGAUCCGCGCUGCAUUAGCUAGUUGGUAAGGUAACGGCUUACCAAGGCAACGAUGGAUAGCCGACCUGAGAGGGUGAUCGGCCGCCCUGGAGCUGAGCCACGGUCCAGGCUCCUACGGGAGGCAGCAGUAGGCAAUCUUCCGCAGUGGGCGGAAGCCUGACGGAGCAACGCCGCGUGUGUGAUGGCGGUCUUCGGAUCGUAAAGCUCUGUUAUUAGUGAAGAACAUAUGUGUAAGUAACUGUGCACAUCUUGACGGUACCUAAUCAGAAAGCCACGGCUAACUACGUG
RNAcentral lists this ribosomal RNA (497 nucleotides) under uncultured bacterium. Its description in RNAcentral is "partial 16S ribosomal RNA". It matches the Rfam family "Bacterial small subunit ribosomal RNA", at positions 28 to 507 of the family's 1533-position model. The record is from RNAcentral.